GUAGGUGGCAAGCGUUGUCCGGAAUUAUUGGGCGUAAAGCGCGCGCAGGCGGUUCUUUAAGUCUGAUGUGAAAGCCCACGGCUCAACCGUGGAGGGUCAUUGGAAACUGGAGAACUUGAGUACAGAAGAGGAAAGCGGAAUUCCACGUGUAGCGGUGAAAUGCGUAGAGAUGUGGAGGAACACCAGUGGCGAAGGCGGCUUUCUGGUCUGUAACUGACGCUGAGGCGCGAAAGCGUGGGGAGCAAACAGGAUUAGAUACCCUGGUAGUCCACGCCGUAAACGAUGAGUGCUAAGUGUUAGGGGGGUUUUCCGCCCCCCUUAGUGCUGCAGCUAGCGCAUUAAGCACUCCGCCCUGGGAGUACGGCCGCAAGGCUG
This 375-nucleotide ribosomal RNA is filed under the name uncultured organism. RNAcentral's name for it is "partial 16S ribosomal RNA". It matches the Rfam family "Bacterial small subunit ribosomal RNA", at positions 527 to 896 of the family's 1533-position model. The record is from RNAcentral.